CAAUAGCGUAUAUUAAAGUUGUUGCAGUUAAAAAGCUCGUAGUUGGAUUUGUGGCGGACGGUGGGUUCCGGGCACUUGUUGUCUGAGUAACUUGCUGUUGCCAUCCUUGGGUGGAACCUGUGUGGCAUUAGGUUGUCGUGCAGGGGAUGCCCAUCAUUUACUGUGAAAAAAUUAGAGUGUUCAAAGCAGGCUUAUGCCGUUGAAUAUAUUAGCAUGGAAUAAUGAGAUAGGACUUUUUUGCUAUUUUGUUGGUUUGCGCAAAGAGGUAAUGAUUAAUAGGGACAGUUGGGGGUAUUCGUAUUCCAUUGUCAGAGGUGAAAUUCUUGGAUUUUUGGAAGACGAACUACUGCGAAAGCAUUUACCAAGGAUGUUUUCAUUAA
Molecule: ribosomal RNA, 380 nt
Filed under: uncultured eukaryote
Lineage: Eukaryota
Description: partial 18S ribosomal RNA
Rfam family: Eukaryotic small subunit ribosomal RNA
Source: RNAcentral